GACGAACGCUGGCGGCGUGCCUAAUACAUGCAAGUCGAACGCAGAAGGAGGAGUUUGCCUCUCUGGAUGAGUUGCGAACGGGUGAGAAACCCGUAGGUAACCUGCCUGGUAGCGGGGGAUAACUAUUGGAAACGAUAGCUAAUACCGCAUAACAGUAGGUGUUGCAUGUGAUUUGCUUAACAGGUGCAAUUGCCGCAAUACCAGAUGGACCUGCGUUGUAUUAGCGAGUUGGGGGGGUAAAGGCUCACCAAGGCGACGAGACAUAGCCGACCUGAGAGGGGGAUCGGCCACACUGGGACUGAGACACGGCCCAGACUCCUACGGGAGGCAGCAGUAGGGAAUCUUCGGCAAUGGACGGAAGUCUGACCGAGCAACGCCGCGUGAGUGAAGAAGGUUUUCGGAUCGUAAAGCUCUGUUGUAAGAGAAGAACGAGUGUGAGAGUGGAAAGUUCACACUGUGACGGUAGCUUACCAGAAAGGGACGGCUAACUACGUG
RNAcentral lists this ribosomal RNA (495 nucleotides) under uncultured bacterium. RNAcentral's name for it is "partial 16S ribosomal RNA". It matches the Rfam family "Bacterial small subunit ribosomal RNA", at positions 28 to 507 of the family's 1533-position model. The record is from RNAcentral.